RNAcentral lists this ribosomal RNA (447 nucleotides) under uncultured bacterium. RNAcentral describes it as "bacterial SSU rRNA". It matches the Rfam family "Bacterial small subunit ribosomal RNA", at positions 355 to 825 of the family's 1533-position model. The record is from RNAcentral.
UCGGGAAUUUUGGGCAAUGGGCGAAAGCCUGACCCAGCAACGCCGCGUGAAGGAUGAAGUAUUUCGGUGUGUAAACUUCGAAAGAAUAGGAAGAAUAAAUGACGGUACUAUUUAUAAGGUCCGGCUAACUACGUGCCAGCAGCCGCGGUAAUACGUAGGGACCAAGCGUUGUUCGGAUUUACUGGGCGUAAAGGGCGCGUAGGCGGCAAUUCAAGUCAUCUGUGAAAUCUCCGGGCUUAACUCGGAACGGUCAGAUGAUACUGCUUUGCUAGAGUGCAGAAGGGGCAAUCGGAAUUCUUGGUGUAGCGGUGAAAUGCGUAGAUAUCAAGAGGAACACCUGAGGUGAAGACGGGUUGCUGGGCUGACACUGACGCUGAGGCGCGAAAGUUAGGGGAUCAAACAGGAUUAGAUACCCAAGUAGUCCCUGAGCGGGCUGGCAAGGCGCAU